GACGAACGCUGGCGGCGUGCUUAACACAUGCAAGUCGAACGGAAAGGCCCUGCUUUUGUGGGGUGCUCGAGUGGCGAACAGGUGAGUAACACGUGAGUAACCUGCCCUUGACUUUGGGAUAACUUCAGGAAACUGGGGCUAAUACCGGAUAGGAGCUCCUGCUGCAUGGUGGGGGUUGGAAAGUUUCGGCGGUUGGGGAUGGACUCGCGGCUUAUCAGCUUGUUGGUGGGGUAGUGGCUUACCAAGGCUUUGACGGGUAGCCGGCCUGAGAGGGUGACCGGCCACAUUGGGACUGAGAUACGGCCCAGACUCCUACGGGAGGCAGCAGUGGGGAAUAUUGCACAAUGGGCGGAAGCCUGAUGCAGCAACGCCGCGUGCGGGAUGACGGCCUUCGGGUUGUAAACCGCUUUCGCCUGUGACGAAGCGUGAGUGACGGUAAUGGGUAAAGAAGCACCGGCUAACUACGUGCCAGCAGCCGCGGUGAUACGUAGGGUGCGAGCGUUGUCCGGAUUUAUUGGGCGUAAAGGGCUCGUAGGUGGUUGAUCGCGUCGGAAGUGUAAUCUUGGGGCUUAACCCUGAGCGUGCUUUCGAUACGGGUUGACUUGAGGAAGGUAGGGGAGAAUGGAAUUCCUGGUGGAGCGGUGGAAUGCGCAGAUAUCAGGAGGAACACCAGUGGCGAAGGCGGUUCUCUGGGCCUUUCCUGACGCUGAGGAGCGAAAGCGUGGGGAGCGAACAGGCUUAGAUACCCUGGUAGUCCACGCUGUAAACGGUGGGUACUAGGUGUGGGGUCCAUUCCACGGGUUCCGUGCCGUAGCUAACGCUUUAAGUACCCCGCCUGGGGAGUACGGCCGCAAGGCUAAAACUCAAAGGAAUUGACGGGGCCCCGCACAAGCGGCGGAGCAUGCGGAUUAAUUCGAUGCAACGCGUAGAACCUUACCUGGGUUUGACAUGGAUCGGGAGUGCUCAGAGAUGGGUGUGCCUCUUUUGGGGUCGGUUCACAGGUGGUGCAUGGCUGUCGUCAGCUCGUGUCGUGAGAUGUUGGGUUAAGUCCCGCAACGAGCGCAACCCUUGUUCACUGUUGCCAGCACGUUAUGGUGGGGACUCAGUGGAGACCGCCGGGGUCAACUCGGAGGAAGGUGGGGAUGACGUCAAGUCAUCAUGCCCCUUAUGUCCAGGGCUUCACGCAUGCUACAAUGGCUGGUACAGAGAGUGGCGAGCCUGUGAGGGUGAGCGAAUCUCGGAAAGCCGGUCUCAGUUCGGAUUGGGGUCUGCAACUCGACCUCAUGAAGUCGGAGUCGCUAGUAAUCGCAGAUCAGCAACGCUGCGGUGAAUACGUUCCCGGG
This 1343-nucleotide ribosomal RNA is filed under the name uncultured bacterium. Its description in RNAcentral is "16S ribosomal RNA". It matches the Rfam family "Bacterial small subunit ribosomal RNA", at positions 28 to 1378 of the family's 1533-position model. The record is from RNAcentral.